UCCAUGAGCCGAUAGCUCAGUUGGUAAAGCAUGAGACUUUUAAUCUCAGGGUUGUGGGUUUGACUCCCAUGUUUGAUGAAA
Non-coding RNA from Podarcis lilfordi (Lilford's wall lizard), 81 nucleotides. The record is from the annotation of a GenBank genome assembly. Lineage: Eukaryota; Metazoa; Chordata; Lepidosauria; Squamata; Lacertidae.